RNAcentral lists this transfer RNA (103 nucleotides) under Chryseobacterium sp. RNAcentral describes it as "tRNA-OTHER". It matches the Rfam family "tRNA". From Rfam's summary of the family: Transfer RNA (tRNA) molecules are approximately 80 nucleotides in length. Their secondary structure includes four short double-helical elements and three loops (D, anti-codon, and T loops). Further hydrogen bonds mediate the characteristic L-shaped molecular structure. tRNAs have two regions of fundamental functional importance: the anti-codon, which is responsible for specific mRNA codon recognition, and the 3' end, to which the tRNAs corresponding amino acid is attached (by aminoacyl-tRNA synthetases). tRNAs cope with the degeneracy of the genetic code in two manners: having more than one tRNA (with a specific anti-codon) for a particular amino acid; and 'wobble' base-pairing, i.e. permitting non-standard base-pairing at the 3rd anti-codon position. Lineage: Bacteria; Pseudomonadati; Bacteroidota; Flavobacteriia; Flavobacteriales; Weeksellaceae. The record is from RNAcentral.
GGGAAAGUAGCUCAAGUAGAGCGGUUGCAAAAAUCGCAAUCCAAUGGGAGAGUAAGACGGGAUAAUUCGACAGCAGUUGGUGGUUCAAAUCCAUCCUUUCUCA